CCUACGGGUGGCAGCAGUGGGGAAUAUUGCACAAUGGGGGGAACCCUGAUGCAGCGACGCCGCGUGGGGGAAGGAGGCUUUCGGUAUGUAAAGCCCUAUCAGCAGGGAAGAACAAUGACGGUAACUGACUAAGAAGCACCGGCUAAAUACGUGCCAGCAGCCGCGGUAAUACGUAGGGUGCAAGCGUUUUCCGGAUUUAAUGGGUGUAAAGGGAGCGCAGGCGGGGCGGUAAGCCUGGUGUGAAAGCCAGGGGCCCAACCGCGGGACUGCAUUGGAAACUGGCGGUCUGGAGUGCCGGAGAGGUAGGCGGAAUUCCUAGUGUAGCGGUGAAAUGCGUAGAUAUUAGGAGGAACACCAGUGGCGAAGGCGGCCUACUGGACGGUGACUGACGCUGAGGCUCGAAAGCGUGGGGAGCAAACAGGAUUAGAUACCCCAGUAGUC
RNAcentral lists this ribosomal RNA (441 nucleotides) under uncultured bacterium. RNAcentral describes it as "partial 16S ribosomal RNA". It matches the Rfam family "Bacterial small subunit ribosomal RNA", at positions 338 to 795 of the family's 1533-position model. The record is from RNAcentral.